ACAGUGACGAUCAAAGUGGAAGCCCUCUCUGAAGUUUGUCCAGAAAGUGCAUCCAUUUUGUUGGUCUCUGUAUGU
Molecule: microRNA precursor, 75 nt
Filed under: Microtus ochrogaster (prairie vole)
Lineage: Eukaryota; Metazoa; Chordata; Mammalia; Rodentia; Cricetidae
Description: microRNA 291b (ENSMOCG00000003979.1)
Source: RNAcentral